UGUAAACUCAUCAAAACAGUAAGUGCAGCAUACUAUCAACUCUCAGCUCUUGAAGUUUCUGAUUAUGUCUGUGGCUUUAAGACUGUUUUUUUUAGUAAGUUGUCAAACAGUAUAUAAAAUAAGUGGGAUUGAAAAGAGAUUAAAACACAUCUCCCCAAGGCGGUACACGAAGGUUUGCUCUUUGCUGAUUUAACUUUUGUCUCCAGAAAUUCUGUUUCUGCAUGUAAGUGGGUUUUUUUUGUUUGUUUGUUUGUUUUUUUUUAAUUUCCUAAGAUCUUUCUAAUCAAUGAACGUGGUGUAUGAACAGUACCCUACAUGAGAUUUGGACAAACUGAAUGACACCACUGCUCCUCUUAGCUGCUGUUAAUGGAAAUGAUUUCCAACAGAAAAUACCUGAAACAAAUUGCCACAACAGUCGGAGGGUGAGCAGUGUAUCAGACAGAAGUUGGCUGUUUUUCGAGUGCAGUUAGUGCUUCUGAGCACCUUGUGGAAAUUUUACUGUCUCACAGUCAAGUCUUUCUAAAACUGAGUCUCAUUAAAAGCCCAUGAAAACAAUUGCUGUUCUAUAUCUGUGAAUAUUCAGAAAGAUUUUUUUUUCCUUUUUUUUGUUGACUGUGAUUGAUAACAUUAAGAGAAGAAAAUAUUUUUAUCCUGAAAGUAUAAAUGAGGGCAUAAAUAAGUUUAGAGAGGUCCAAAUCCUGGCAUACUUUUCAGGCAAAGUUGCCAUCAAAAUCUGACUGAAGUAGUAGAGCAGAAGGUGUUUAGCCCUUCAAAUGAUUUGAGUUUUCGAAAGAGCUCUGACUAGCUUAGUAUUAUACCACCUUAAGCCACUGGCAUUGGUGUUUAAUACUGUUCUCCCUUCAGUUCUGGCUGUGACCUGGUUGUCCUAGACGAUAACUGUCACCCUGAACUUGACAGAUCAUUGGAGUUUUUGUGAGUCUACUUCAGGAAGAGAGUGGCUGGAUAGCAGUGAUAGUACACUUUGACUGGAGAUUUCCUGGCUAACACCGACCUAGACAUGACUGGAUGUCCUGCAAAGUGAUGAAUUAUUACUUAAGAUAAGUAAGCCUUGUGAUGACUUCCUUCUGCCUUGGGCACCAAAGUCUUGAUGGGAUGCACAAGAAAAAUGUCUUGCCUUGGAGAGAAUCAUCCAAGUAAGGAUCUAAGAUUAGUAAAGGAUGAAGUACACAUAAGAGAGAAGCACUGCUGCCGGGUCAACAUCCUCUAUCUGGGAUGGAAGCAAAAGCUUGCAUGAGAAAGGACUUACAUCCGUUCAUGUGGUGAGCAGGAAGUUUGUCCUGGAGGAUUCAGAUCUCUGGAACCCAUAUCCUGAGGAAACCUGGAUCAAGAACAAGCUACAGCUUUCUUGCAGCUGUGGUGGUGUCUUUUUAUGCGAUACCACUAGAAGUUUUAUAUUUUCUGUGGCCUUUGAGGCUUCACCCUACUACUUCUGUACUUCUCCGAGUGUACUUUCUAUCCAAUCUUUCUUUCUUUAAUCUAGGAGUUGUUUUAGUGGCUUAUUCCAAAUUUACAUACAUAUGAUUCUACAUAUAACACUUGGACAAUAGAAUACCUGGCCUGAAGGUAUGGAUACUUCUUCAAUAUGAUGUGUUCCUGAAGCUGACACUGCUCUAAAGCUGUAGUGGAAAUAUAGUGAUUUAAAUUCUCUUCAGCUCUGUACUUUAGCCAUUCAUUGAAUGCCACAAUCUAGAUUAGAAGUGUAUAUGCAGGGCAUUAACUGCAAAAGAAACUGUUGUAAUAUCAGCGUGCUGCUGAACUGGAAAGGUUGAGAUGGUUAGUAAAGCAAGUUGCACUAGAAAGACCAUUGAUCAUAUUUAGCAGCUGUUUUACAAAUAGAAAGCUAGAAACUUGUGCCCAGUCUUUCAAAAUAUCUGCGACUGCUUUUUUUUCUUUUUCUUUUUUUUUCUAAAAAAAGUCCCAUUAAAGUUACUGAGGAUUUGCAUUUUUAAAAAAAUUGUUUAAUGGAGGGAGGUAUCUCUAAAAGCUACAUAUAAGAAAAGUCCUGAUGUUCUUUAAGUUAUCAGGCCAUCAAAAAGAACAUGAAAUCCACACUUUUUGUUUGGAGACAGCACCAUAGAAACAAUUUGGUUUUUCCUCCCUCUCUUCCAUCUCUCUAUAGUCAUCAUCUCCAACUCUUUCCUUCCAUUUCCCUUCAACGAGCUUUUUCUGUGCACCCUCCUAACAAAUUUUGGCUCACCUUAGAAAGUGAACCUUACUCUGCAGCAAGUUUGGUCUGCUCAUGCUGCCAGUUUUCUGCCACCACUGCUUAAUCAUGCAACUUCCUCCUCUGCAACUUGUCUGUCCUGUUCAUCCAAAUCUUUUCACUCAGAGCAGCAAUAGUGUUUUGAUUAACUGGUGUGCUGGCAGAGAUUACUAAAGGUAUCUGUCUGGAUGCUGCUGUGAUAUGCACGUGGGUCUGAUAUCUUUAACUUCUGCUACACUGCUUUGUUGUUUGCUUAUUUGUUUAAAAUGCUUCUCUGUUAUAUUUGCAGGGAUGAAAAAUAAACUAACAGGCAUCCAGCUCUGAAACUGUGUUGGUGUUGGUGGGGGAGGGCUGCCCACUUGAAAACAAGCAAGAAGUCUUACAAAUAUUUGGACUGAUUAAUUCACCAGCUUUUCUUUACAGAACUCUUUUGUAAUAAUAAAGCCAUUCAUUGACCAA
Numida meleagris (helmeted guineafowl) is the source of this 2683-nucleotide long non-coding RNA. RefSeq lists it as uncharacterized. The record is from RefSeq and is a predicted model, not a curated record. The transcript is spliced from 2 exons. Lineage: Eukaryota; Metazoa; Chordata; Aves; Galliformes; Numididae.